GACGAACGCUGGCGGCGUGCUUAACACAUGCAAGUCGAACGGAAAGGCCCUGCUUUUGUGGGGUGCUCGAGUGGCGAACGGGUGAGUAACACGUGAGUAACCUGCCCUUGACUUUGGGAUAAAUUCAGGAAACUGGGGCUAAUACAGGAUAGGAGCUACUGCUGCAUGGGGGGGGUUCGAAAGUUUCGGCGGUUGGGGAUGGACUGGAGGGUUAUCAGCUUGUUGGGGAGGUAGUGGCUUACCAAGGCUUUGACGGGUAGCCGGCCUGAGAGGGUGACCGGCGACAUGGGGACUAAGAUACGCCCCAGUCGCCAACGGGAGGCAGCAGUGGGGAAUAUUGCACAAUGGGCGGAAGCCUGAUGCGACAACGCCGCGUGCGGGAUGACGGGUUUCGGGUUAUAAACCGCUUUCUCCUUUGCCGAAGCGUGAGUGACGGUAAUGGGUAAAGAAGCACCGGCUAACUACGUG
Molecule: ribosomal RNA, 468 nt
Filed under: uncultured bacterium
Lineage: Bacteria
Description: partial 16S ribosomal RNA
Rfam family: Bacterial small subunit ribosomal RNA
Source: RNAcentral